GAUGAAGAACGUAGCGAAAUGCGAUAAGUAAUGUGAAUUGCAGAAUUCAGUGAAUCAUCGAAUCUUUGAACGCACAUUGCGCCCGCCAGUAUUCUGGCGGGCAUCCCUGUCUGAGCGUCAUUUCAACCCUCAUGCCCCUAGGGCGUGGUGUUGGGGAUCGGCCAAAGCCCGCGAGGGACGGCCGGCCCCUAAAUCUAGUGGCGGACCCGUCGUGGCCUCCUCUGCGAAGUAGUGAUAUUCCGCAUCGGAGAGCGACGAGCCCCUGCCGUUAAACCCCCAACUUUCCAAGGUUGACCUCAGAUCAGGUAGGAAUACCCGCUGAACUUAAGCAUAUCAAUAAGCGGAGGA
Molecule: unclassified non-coding RNA, 348 nt
Filed under: soil metagenome
Description: partial contains 5.8S ribosomal RNA, internal transcribed spacer 2, and large subunit ribosomal RNA
Rfam family: 5.8S ribosomal RNA (bases 1-120)
Source: RNAcentral